UUCUCUUAGCCUGUCUAUCAGCUUUUUAAAGGUGUAGUUCUUUCUCCACUCCUAAUAAAUAUUCUCCUCAGGAAUGUGACUGUAUUGUUUGCAGCUCUAUUUCUGGUCCAUCUCUCUUUCUGAGGCACAUGGGCACCUGUGAGCACUGCACAUCCAGGCCCAGACAUCUAUCAAAAUCUUUUCAGAGACUGUCACUGCCUCCAAGGUCUGUUCACUGUUCUGGGGAAUUAGCUUAUACUCACAGCUAGAACUAAUCCUGCCAAAUUCUUCAAGGAAUUCAGAGCUCCACAAGUUUAGCCCUCUAAUCUCUGCACACCAACAUGCUAUGUGCAACCAAAUUGUGUGCACAAUUUUACAGUAUAUUCCAUCUGAUUGCUUCUUCUUGAGUUGCUUUGCUGUCCUCCGCUUUUAUAAGGAUGCUUUGAUCUGUGGUUUUAGUUCAUUUUUUCUCAUUAUAAUAGCAUUAUACUAGAGGCAGUUUUGAUGGAACCUUCAAAUUCUUAACACUAGUUGGUAAGAUUAUUUUAUUUUCUUGGCUUUAUUUUUGUGUCAAAUAAGAACAAACUAUUUUGUAGUCCCACCUGUUUUCUUUGUCUCCUCUCUUUCCUAGUAAAGUCAAGUUAACUCCC
Molecule: long non-coding RNA, 629 nt
Organism: Callithrix jacchus (white-tufted-ear marmoset)
Lineage: Eukaryota; Metazoa; Chordata; Mammalia; Primates; Cebidae
Source: Ensembl